RNAcentral lists this ribosomal RNA (253 nucleotides) under uncultured bacterium. RNAcentral describes it as "partial 16S ribosomal RNA". It matches the Rfam family "Bacterial small subunit ribosomal RNA", at positions 524 to 776 of the family's 1533-position model. The record is from RNAcentral.
UACAGAGGGGGCAAGCGUUGUUCGGAAUUACUGGGCGUAAAGGGCGCGUAGGCGGCCUUCUAAGUCGAACGUGAAAUCCCUGGGCUCAACCCAGGAACUGCGUCCGAUACUGGAAGGCUUGAAUCCGGGAGAGGGAUGCGGAAUUCCAGGUGUAGCGGUGAAAUGCGUAGAUAUCUGGAGGAACACCGGUGGCGGAGGCGGCAUCCUGGACCGGUAUUGACGCUGAGGCGCGAAAGCCAGGGGAGCAAACGGG